UACGGGAGGCAGCAGGUGGGAAUAUUGCACAAUGGGCGCAAGCCUGAUGCAGCCAUGCCGCGUGUAUGAAGAAGGUCCUUCGGGUUGUAAAGUACUUUCAGCAGUGAGGAAGGUGGGUAUGUUAAUAGCAUACUCAUUUGACGUUAGCUGCAGAAGAAGCACCGGCUAACUCCGUGCCAGCAGCCGCGGUAAUACGGAGGGUGCGAGCGUUAAUCGGAAUUACUGGGCGUAAAGCGCAUGCAGGUGGUUUGUUAAGUCAGAUGUGAAAGCCCGGGGCUCAACCUCGGAAUUGCAUUUGAAACUGGCAAACUAGAGUACUGUAGAGGGGGUAGAAUUUCAGGUGUAGCGGUGAAAUGCGUAGAGAUCUGAAGGAAUACCGGUGGCGAAGGCGGCCCCCUGGACAGAUACUGACACUCAGAUGCGAAAGCGUGGGGAGCAAACAGGAUUAGAUACCCUGGUAG
RNAcentral lists this ribosomal RNA (461 nucleotides) under uncultured bacterium. RNAcentral's name for it is "bacterial SSU rRNA". It matches the Rfam family "Bacterial small subunit ribosomal RNA", at positions 340 to 793 of the family's 1533-position model. The record is from RNAcentral.